This 72-nucleotide transfer RNA is filed under the name Bos taurus (domestic cattle). It matches the Rfam family "tRNA". Rfam says of the family: Transfer RNA (tRNA) molecules are approximately 80 nucleotides in length. Their secondary structure includes four short double-helical elements and three loops (D, anti-codon, and T loops). RNAcentral also lists the same sequence under 4 other names. The record is from Rfam by way of RNAcentral. Lineage: Eukaryota; Metazoa; Chordata; Mammalia; Artiodactyla; Bovidae.
UCCCUGGUGGCUCAGAUGGUAAAGCAUCUGCCUAUAAUGUGGGAGACCCAGGUUCAAUCCCUGGGUUGGGAA